GUUUCCGUGGUGUAGUUAGUAGCACGUUCGCUUAACACGCGAAAGGCUCCGGUUCAACUCCGGGCGGAAACG
Molecule: non-coding RNA, 72 nt
Organism: Episyrphus balteatus (marmalade hoverfly)
Lineage: Eukaryota; Metazoa; Arthropoda; Insecta; Diptera; Syrphidae
Source: the annotation of a RefSeq genome assembly